RNAcentral lists this ribosomal RNA (498 nucleotides) under uncultured bacterium. RNAcentral's name for it is "partial 16S ribosomal RNA". It matches the Rfam family "Bacterial small subunit ribosomal RNA", at positions 28 to 507 of the family's 1533-position model. The record is from RNAcentral.
GACGAACGCUGGCGGCGUGCCUAAUACAUGCAAGUCGAGCGGACGAAUCGAAAGCUUGCUUUUGAUUCGUUAGCGGCGGACGGGUGAGUAACACGUGGGCAACCUGCCCUGUAGACGGGGAUAACACCGAGAAAUCGGUGCUAAUACCGGAUAACACGAAAUGUCGCAUGACGUUUCGUUGAAAGACGGCGCAAGCUGCCGCUACAGGAUGGGCCCGCGGCGCAAUAGCUAGUUGGUGAGGUAACGGCUCACCAAGGCGACGAUACGUAGCCGACCUGAGAGGGUGAUCGGCCACACUGGGACUGAGACACGGCCCAGACUCCUACGGGAGGCAGCAGUAGGGAAUCUUCCGCAAUGGACGAAAGUCUGACGGAGCAACGCCGCGUGAGCGAAGAAGGCCGUCGGGUCGUAAAGCUCUGUUGUUAGGGAAGAACAAGUAACGCAGUAACUGGCGUUACCGUGACGGUACCUAACGAGAAAGCCACGGCUAACUACGUG